GGUGUUUUCACGUCUUACCGUAGUGCCCGCUUUCUUUGUCUCGAUUCCCGAUUGAUGAACAAGAAGGAAAAAUGCAGUCUUUUUUGACUCGCCUCCGGCUACGUUUUGGACCCUUUACUUGAUAUUCUAUUAAUAAAGCGCUAGCGCCCCUAUAGAGUGAGGCUCUUCUGCUAUCAAUGAAACCGAAAGAAAGACAAAACCCUAGUGCGUUUUGUAUAGAUCGAGACUUGUAGCUUGAUUCUUUACUCAUUCCAUACUGGGAAGAAUUGCAGGAAAUCGUUCGAUAACACUUCUUCUUAUUUCUCAAUGAUGAUUAAGAUAAUUCCCGUGAAACUCUUUCAUUUCAUAGAAGUGAAUUCUUAUUCUUACAAAGCAAAUAGCAUUUCCUAUUGAUUUGUCCCCUG
This 404-nucleotide unclassified non-coding RNA is filed under the name Hevea brasiliensis (rubber tree). The record is from RNAcentral. Lineage: Eukaryota; Viridiplantae; Streptophyta; Magnoliopsida; Malpighiales; Euphorbiaceae.